RNAcentral lists this long non-coding RNA (2039 nucleotides) under Ananas comosus (pineapple). RNAcentral describes it as "long non-coding RNA (ACOM_LNC028495)". The record is from RNAcentral. Lineage: Eukaryota; Viridiplantae; Streptophyta; Magnoliopsida; Poales; Bromeliaceae.
AUAUAAUUAGGAUAUUUUUUAUUCAUAAUUGAAAUAGAAAUGAGAAUGAAAUCAGAUUACAUUGAAAUGAAAAAUAGAAUGAUGCAUCAUUCAAAAAUAUUUAAUUCAUUAUUCGAAUGAAAGUCAAAAUAUACAUUUAAAAUUUUAAGAGAGAAUAUUGAAAGAGAGAGGAGUGAGAGGUAUUUGUAAGAGAGGCAUAUGAAUUGUUUAUUUUUAAAAUAGACUAAUUAGGAAUUCAAAGUCGAAUUUGGCCGUAAAUAUAUUGAACUAUUUUUUAUUUUAGAGUGGAAUGAGAAAUAUAAUUGAAUUCCUACAAAAUAAAUAAUAAGGGAUAAUUUCAUCAAUACCCAUCUGGACGAUCGUAAUGUCAUGAAUAACCCUCUAAACUAGAAAAUAUCAUCAAUAUCCCUCUUAAAACCAAAAAUAGUCACAAAUACCCUUUAGGUUAACUUUCCGUCAAUAGGUCAUCCAAUAUUUUAUAAAUACCAAUUUUACCCCUAGCAACAAUUUAACCAUGUAAUAUUUAAGAUUAAUUAUAAGAUCAAUUUUUAAUGUUUGAAUCACAUAAUAAUUUAACAGUGUUUUUAAAAUUUUACAAUUAAAGAUCUAUAGUUUAUUAAGUGUGAUAGUUAAAUCUCAUUAUGAUUUUUCACUUUUAAAUUGUAUAUAGUUGUAAUCCAAUUGUCCAUAGUAGAAUUCAACAUUAAUUAUUUAAAGAUUUAUUUUUAAAAAUUUUAUUAAAAUAACUCACAUAUCUCACGCUAAAAAUAUUUUGAUAUCAAAUUUCUUGAUAUUAGAGUAUUACUUAUAUGAUCUGCUUAAACAAAAAUUUUUUAAUUGAUAAUUUAUUGUUAACAAUAAAGUAAAAUUUUAUGAAAACUCUCUCACCUAUAGUCCACUUCGACGUGAUCUUAACUCGAAAAAGCGUGAAAUUUGAUUUUCAGAUAGUUUAAAUGGUUUAGAUCAUGUUUAACGGUGCCGAUUGUCAAUUUGAAAGCUCUAUCAUUGAAAACAAAUGGUAGUAAACCGAGUUGUACUACCGAUAGUAUUAUAGCAAAACUCUCUAUAUAUAUGCCCUCUCAACCUAAGUGUUUUUUUUAAAUUUUAGCAAUUGAGUGUUUUUUUCCAUCAAAAUUAAAAAUUUUAUCAAAUACAUGUGAGGGAUCUUAAUUAAAAAACUUUUAACUAAGUCCAAAUAAAGAAAAACUGAUAGUUCAAGAUCUCUUAAUGUUAAAAAAUAAAACUUAAAGGAGUCUAGUUCAAAAUGAUCUGUAGGUGAGGAGUUUCUUUAUUUUUUACCCACUAAUAAUUAGUGCUAGAUAUGUUAUUUUUAAAAUUUAGAUGGGUACUUAUGAAAUUACCCCUUAAUUAUUUGCGGUCAAAAUAAUACCUAAGCUUUUUAAGGCUAAAUUAGUUAUUUUGUAACUCAACAUUUAUUUAACCAAACUUAACCAUGAUUACAGUAACGGCCGAUGGAAGGAAGAGUAAUUGUAAAAAAUUUUUACAUUUGAAGGGGUAUAUAUGAUAUUUUUAACUUUGCAGGGGUAUUUAUAAUAUUUACAUAUUUGAGAGGGGUAGUGAUGAAAUUGCCCCAAAUAAUAAAUAUCAAAAUUAAUAAAUUUCAUUCUGAUUCCAUAUUCAAAAAUAGAUUAAUCAAACAAACUUUUAGAUAUAAUGUGUUACAGCAAGCGCACAAACAGAACCGAAAAAUGAUGAACAUAAAAUAAAUAAACCACAAACAAAAAUAAAAUAACGUAUAGAUUUACAUGCAAAAUUAUUUGCAGGAAAAAAUCACGAACAAGAAAAAAGAGAACUUUACUAUCGAAAAACGGAAUACAAAAUUUGAAGUACAAACAAUAUCAAUCUGUCGCCUCUAGGGCAAAAAACUCUUAAUCGGCUCGGGCCAUUUGGGCCUAUCGGUCCGAGCCCUCCGCUAUCUAUCACAGACAUUUAUUUUUUUCUUCAUAAAUUUAUUUUCAAAUGUCGCACCGAAAACUGUCGGAGAGUCAAAAUUUUGAACUAAAAUCGAUUAUCAAUUU